GUCUUCCUUAAAGUACCUUCCCGGUCAGAUUUCCUUUCAGAAAAAAUGCUAUCAUUGUAAAUUGGAGCAAAAUUGUUGGUGGAAAAGUUUUUCACAGGAAAAAAGUUUUCGAAAAGCCGACGUGGUCGCAUAUUAACAAACUUCACACAGGGCAAACGAAAUAAAAUACUACCAGACAUGGUUUUGUGCAAUAAAUCAGUGUUGUUUUCAAUUAAUUUCCUCCAUUCGCUUCGUCUGUAGCCAAAGAUUAGGUUAGCCAAAAGCGCUAAAGUAAUACUCAAAUUAAAUGUAAUAGCAUUUAGUAUUCAAAUAUUACAAAUUUAAAAUAAU
This is a non-coding RNA of Cinara cedri, 330 nucleotides long. Lineage: Eukaryota; Metazoa; Arthropoda; Insecta; Hemiptera; Aphididae. The record is from the annotation of a GenBank genome assembly.